This 704-nucleotide ribosomal RNA is filed under the name uncultured Lachnospiraceae bacterium. Its description in RNAcentral is "bacterial SSU rRNA". It matches the Rfam family "Bacterial small subunit ribosomal RNA", at positions 41 to 748 of the family's 1533-position model. Lineage: Bacteria; Bacillati; Bacillota; Clostridia; Lachnospirales; Lachnospiraceae. The record is from RNAcentral.
GGCGUGCCUAACACAUGCAAGUCGAACGAAGCACCUUACCGGAUUCUUCGGAUGAAAGUUUGGUGACUGAGUGGCGGACGGGUGAGUAACGCGUGGGUAACCUGCCCUGUACAGGGGGAUAACAGCUGGAAACGGCUGCUAAUACCGCAUAAGCGCACGAGGAGACAUCUCCUAGUGUGAAAAACUCCGGUGGUACAGGAUGGGCCCGCGUCUGAUUAGCUGGUUGGCAGGGUAACGGCCUACCAAGGCAACGAUCAGUAGCCGGUCUGAGAGGAUGAACGGCCACAUUGGAACUGAGACACGGUCCAAACUCCUACGGGAGGCAGCAGUGGGGAAUAUUGCACAAUGGGGGAAACCCUGAUGCAGCAACGCCGCGUGAGUGAAGAAGUAUUUCGGUAUGUAAAGCUCUAUCAGCAGGGAAGAUAAUGACGGCACCUGACUAAGAAGCUCCGGCUAAAUACGUGCCAGCAGCCGCGGUAAUACGUAUGGAGCAAGCGUUAUCCGGAUUUACUGGGUGUAAAGGGUGCGUAGGUGGCAGUGCAAGUCAGAUGUGAAAGGCCGGGGCUCAACCCCGGAGCUGCAUUUGAAACUGCUCGGCUAGAGUACAGGAGAGGCAGGCGGAAUUCCUAGUGUAGCGGUGAAAUGCGUAGAUAUUAGGAGGACACCAGUGGCGAAGGCGGCCUGCUGGACUGUUACUGACACUG